ACAAAAGAUGCAUUUGAUCUGAAGAAGACUGCUCAAGAGGCACAACGUUUGGCUGAAGCAGUUGGUGCAGGAAUGGGAGGCUCUGUACAAGGUUUUAUGAAGAGGGUCUUCACAGGCUGAAUAUAGUUUGCAGUGACUAAUAUGAUCUUAUAGGUGUGGUGGUUCACAAAAUAAAAAUUAUAAUUUGUGUCUAUCGGCAGAAAUGCUAAUUUAGAUUAGCAGUAAUCGAUGGGCAUGCUGUUGCCAUUUUGGCGUUAGAAAUGCUUGUACAUGAGAAUAUCUUUUGUUGGCAAAAUAUGCUUGUAUCUUUCUCCGAUUCAUCUUUCUUUCCCUUUUUCUUUUUUCCUCUGGAUAGUCAAG
This 360-nucleotide unclassified non-coding RNA is filed under the name Hevea brasiliensis (rubber tree). Lineage: Eukaryota; Viridiplantae; Streptophyta; Magnoliopsida; Malpighiales; Euphorbiaceae. The record is from RNAcentral.